This 255-nucleotide ribosomal RNA is filed under the name uncultured bacterium. Its description in RNAcentral is "partial 16S ribosomal RNA". It matches the Rfam family "Bacterial small subunit ribosomal RNA", at positions 524 to 776 of the family's 1533-position model. The record is from RNAcentral.
UACGGAGGGUGCAGCGUUUGUCCGGAAUUAUUGGGCGUAAAGGGCGCGUAGGCGGCGUGACAAGUCACUUGUGAAAUCUCCGGGCUUAACUCGGAACGGUCAAGUGAUACUGUCGUGCUAGAGUACAGAAGGGGCAACUGGAAUUCUCGGUGUAGCGGUGAAAUGCGUAGAUAUCGAGAGGAACACCUGCGGCGAAGGCGGGUUGCUGGGCUGAUACUGACGCUGGAGGCGCGAAAGCCUAGGGGAGCGAACGGG